CUAACAAGGAUUCCCCUAGUAACGGCGAGUGAAGCGGGAAGAGCUCAAAUUUGAAAUCUGGUGGCCUCAGGUCAUCCGAGUUGUAAUCUAUAGAAGUGUUUUCCGUGCUGGCUCAUGUACAAGUCCCUUGGAACAGGGCGUCAUAGAGGGUGAGAAUCCCGUCCUUGACAUGAACUACCAGUGCUCUGUGAUACAUUUUCAACGAGUCGAGUUGUUUGGGAAUGCAGCUCAAAAUGGGUGGUAAAUUCCAUCUAAAGCUAAAUAUUGGCGAGAGACCGAUAGCGAACAAGUACCGUGAGGGAAAGAUGAAAAGCACUUUGGAAAGAGAGUUAAACAGUAUGUGAAAUUGUUAAAAGGGAAACGAUUGAAGUCAGUCGUGCUCUUUGGAUUCAGCCGGUUCUGCCGGUGUACUUCCUUUGAGUGGGGUCAACAUCAGUUUUGAUCGCUGGAUAAAGGCUGGAGGAACGUAGCACCCCCGGGUGAACUUAUAGCCUCCUGUCACAUACAGUGGUUGGGACUGAGGAACGCAGCACGCCUUUAUGGCCAGGAUCCGUCCAUGUACGUGCUUAGGAUGUUGACAUAAUGGCUUUAAACGACCCGUCUUGAAACACGGACC
This 616-nucleotide ribosomal RNA is filed under the name Cryptococcus sp. CRUB 1232. RNAcentral's name for it is "eukaryotic LSU rRNA". It matches the Rfam family "Eukaryotic large subunit ribosomal RNA", at positions 65 to 667 of the family's 3401-position model. Lineage: Eukaryota; Fungi; Basidiomycota; Tremellomycetes; Tremellales; Cryptococcaceae. RNAcentral also lists the same sequence under 1 other name. The record is from RNAcentral.